CAGCAGCCGCGGGAAUACGUAGGGUGCGAGCGUUAAUCGGAAUUACUGGGCGUAAAGCGUGCGUAGGCGGUGAGUUAAGUCUGCUGUGAAAUCCCCGGGCUCAACCUGGGAAUGGCAGUGGAUACUGGCUCGCUAGAGUGUGUCAGAGGAUGGUGGAAUUCCCGGUGUAGCGGUGAAAUGCGUAGAGAUCGGGAGGAACAUCAGUGGCGAAGGCGGCCAUCUGGGACAACACUGACGCUGAGGCACGAAAGCGUGGGGAGCAAACAGGAUUAGAUACCCCGGUAGUCCCUGUCUCUUAUAC
Molecule: ribosomal RNA, 301 nt
Filed under: uncultured bacterium
Lineage: Bacteria
Description: partial 16S ribosomal RNA
Rfam family: Bacterial small subunit ribosomal RNA
Source: RNAcentral